GCGCACCAGUCGCGAAUCCUCCGCAAUGCACGCAAGUGUGACGGGGGAUUCCAAGUGUUAUUGCAUUUUGUGUGAUAACUUUUCUUAAAUGUAAAUAGUUUGAGGAAUAAGGGCUGGGUAAGACGGGUGCCGGCCGCCGCGGUAAUACCCGCAGCUCAAGUGGUCUGGAGUUUUAUUGGGUCUAAAGCGUUCGUAGCUGGGUCUAUAAGUUCUCUGUGAAAAUCUAAACGGCUUAACCGUUAGGCGUGCAGAGGAUAC
RNAcentral lists this ribosomal RNA (258 nucleotides) under uncultured microorganism. RNAcentral's name for it is "partial 16S ribosomal RNA". It matches the Rfam family "Archaeal small subunit ribosomal RNA", at positions 330 to 584 of the family's 1478-position model. The record is from RNAcentral.